GGCUCAGGACGAACGCUAGCGGCGUGCCUAAGGUAUGCAAGUCGAACGGCCCGCAAGGGUAGUGGCGAACGGUCGAGUAACACGUAGACAACCUGCCUCUGAGUGGGGGAUAACAGCUCGAAAGGGCUGCUAAUACCGCAUGUGGUGGUCCAGCGAUGCUGGAUUGACUAAAGGCGCAAGCCGCUGGGAGAUGGGUCUGCGGCCUAUCAGCUAGUUGGUGAGGUAACGGCUCACCAAGGCGACGACGGGUAGCUGGUCUGAGAGGAUGAUCAGCCGGACGGGGACUGAGACACGGCCCCGACUCCUUCGGGAGGCAGCAAUGAGGAAUAUUGCGCAAUGGGCGAAAGCCUGACGCAGCGACGCCGCGUGGGUGAGGAAGUUCUUCGGAAUGUAAAGCCCUUUUGUCAGGGACGAGAAUGGACGGUACCUGACGAAUAAGCCCCGGCUAACUACGUGCCAGCAGCCGCGGUAAUACGUAGGGGGCAAGCGUUGUCCGGAUUUACUGGGCGUAAAGCGCGCGUAGGCGGAAGAUUAAGUCCGAUCUGAAAGCCCCCGGCUCAACCGGGGAGGGUGGUUGGAAACUGGUCUUCUUGAGGGCGAGAGAGGGGAGUGGAAUUCCUGGUGUAGCGGUGAAAUGCGUAGAUAUCAGGAGGAACACCCAUGGCGAAGGCAGCUCCCUGGCUCGACCCUGACGCUGAGGCGCGAAAGCGUGGGGAGCGAACGGGAUUAGAUACCCCGGUAGUCCACGCCGUAAACGAUGGUCACUAGAUGUCUGCGGUAUCGACCCCGCAGGUGUCGCAGCUAACGCAUUAAGUGACCCGCCUGGGGAGUAC
This 833-nucleotide ribosomal RNA is filed under the name uncultured bacterium. RNAcentral's name for it is "bacterial SSU rRNA". It matches the Rfam family "Bacterial small subunit ribosomal RNA", at positions 21 to 883 of the family's 1533-position model. The record is from RNAcentral.